GCCUGGGUGGCGGAACUGGUAGACGCAGUGGACUCAAAAUCCACCGCCCGCGAGGGCGUGCCGGUUCGAUUCCGGCUCCAGGCA
This 84-nucleotide transfer RNA is filed under the name Fluviicoccus keumensis. It matches the Rfam family "tRNA". From Rfam's summary of the family: Transfer RNA (tRNA) molecules are approximately 80 nucleotides in length. Their secondary structure includes four short double-helical elements and three loops (D, anti-codon, and T loops). Further hydrogen bonds mediate the characteristic L-shaped molecular structure. tRNAs have two regions of fundamental functional importance: the anti-codon, which is responsible for specific mRNA codon recognition, and the 3' end, to which the tRNAs corresponding amino acid is attached (by aminoacyl-tRNA synthetases). tRNAs cope with the degeneracy of the genetic code in two manners: having more than one tRNA (with a specific anti-codon) for a particular amino acid; and 'wobble' base-pairing, i.e. permitting non-standard base-pairing at the 3rd anti-codon position. Lineage: Bacteria; Pseudomonadati; Pseudomonadota; Gammaproteobacteria; Moraxellales; Moraxellaceae. The record is from Rfam by way of RNAcentral.